RNAcentral lists this ribosomal RNA (511 nucleotides) under uncultured bacterium. RNAcentral's name for it is "bacterial SSU rRNA". It matches the Rfam family "Bacterial small subunit ribosomal RNA", at positions 14 to 518 of the family's 1533-position model. The record is from RNAcentral.
CGGAUCUGGCUCAGGAUGAACGCUAGCGGCAGGCUUAACACAUGCAAGUCGAGGGGCAUCGGGAGUAGCAAUACUGCCGGCGACCGGCGCAAGGGUGCGUAACGCGUGAGCAACAUGCCCGUAUCAGGGGGGAUAAUCCAUGGAAACGUGGUCUAAUACCCCAUAGUAAUUAUGUAAGGCAUCUUAUAUAAUUUAAAGCUUUGGUGGAUACGGAUUGGCUCGCGUGACAUUAGCUAGAUGGUAAGGUAACGGCUUACCAUGGCUACGAUGUCUAGGGGUUCUGAGAGGAAGGUCCCCCCACACUGGAACUGAGACACGGUCCAGACUCCUACGGGAGGCAGCAGUGAGGAAUAUUGGACAAUGGAUGGAAAUCUGAUCCAGCCAUGCCGCGUGCAAGGAAGACGGCCCUAUGGGUUGUAAACUGCUUUUGUAUGGGAGCAAUAAGGGCUACGCGUAGUCCGAUGAGAGUACCAUACGAAUAAGCACCGGCUAACUCCGUGCCAGCCGCUGC